CAGAGGGAUAGCCCAGAGAAAUUUGGAUUAAUACCUCAUAGUAUGCAGAGUUGGCAUCAACACUGCAUUAAAGUCACAACGGUAAAAGAUGAGCAUGCGUCCCAUUAGCUAGUUGGUAAGGUAACGGCUUACCAAGGCUACGAUGGGUAGGGGUCCUGAGAGGGAGAUCCCCCACACUGGUACUGAGACACGGACCAGACUCCUACGGGAGGCAGCAGUGAGGAAUAUUGGACAAUGGGCGCAAGCCUGAUCCAGCCAUGCCGCGUGCAGGAUGACGGUCCUAUGGAUUGUAAACUGCUUUUGCACAGGAAGAAACAACUCUACGUGUAGAGUCUUGACGGUACUGUGAGAAUAAGGAUCGGCUAACUCCGUGCCAGCAGCCGCGGUAAUACGGAGGAUCCAAGCGUUAUCCGGAAUCAUUGGGUUUAAAGGGUCCGUAGGCGGUUUAGUAAGUCAGUGGUGAAAGCCCAUCGCUCAACGGUGGAACGGCCAUUGAUACUGCUAGACUUGAAUUAUUAGGAAGUAACUAGAAUAUGUAGUGUAGCGGUGAAAUGCUUAGAGAUUACAUGGAAUACCAAUUGCGAAGGCAGGUUACUACUAAUGGAUUGACGCUGAUGGACGAAAGCGUGGGUAGCUAACAGGAUUAGAUACCCUGGUAGUCCACGGCCGUAAACGAUGGAUACUAGCUGUUGGGAGCGAUCUC
RNAcentral lists this ribosomal RNA (703 nucleotides) under uncultured bacterium. RNAcentral's name for it is "bacterial SSU rRNA". It matches the Rfam family "Bacterial small subunit ribosomal RNA", at positions 136 to 839 of the family's 1533-position model. The record is from RNAcentral.